This 1742-nucleotide long non-coding RNA is filed under the name Dendronephthya gigantea. Its description in RNAcentral is "uncharacterized LOC114538484, transcript variant X7". Lineage: Eukaryota; Metazoa; Cnidaria; Anthozoa; Malacalcyonacea; Nephtheidae. The record is from RNAcentral.
GUAUUCUUUCCAUGCGAACUUUUUACAAUAAUAAGUCCUAAAGGCCUAUCUACACGAUGCGACCAAUCAAUGAUAUGACAAGGAAAUUACGGGAAAUUAAAAAAUAAAAUGGUAAAAUAUAGAUAAGAUACAGAACAAGAAAAAAAGUAAAGAAAAAUUAAAUUCUACGUUUUGAAAAGAUAUAUUUCAGUUUUUAAAUGGAAGCACAGUACAGACUGAAACGUAGCAAUCCAGACGUUACAAUCAGAAUAAUUAGUUACAGCCAGUGUUACAGCUGUGCUUGCAGUAUUGCCCACGUGCACCGGAUAGUCCGGAUAUAAUCAAUCGCAUUUGCUGGUUUUUUGAAGAAGAUGCUAAAAUUAUAAUCUUGAUGUGUAAUCAGUAAAUGACCUUUGUUACGUCUCUUUACAACAUUAUUAUUUUGCCAUCUGGUUUUACUUUUUUCAAGUUUUGAGCGGAGCUGAUGAAAGUUUAUGUAAUUUUUCGUUGGAUAUAUAAAAAUUUUGAAAAAAGAUAAGCAAAGAGGGCUAAGUGAGGACGGCUGUCUACAAUAACCUUCUUGAUAAGGCAAUUGGCCAGUUUCAUCUCACUAUCGUUGACCAUUCUGCCAAGACCCGUGGAGAAUGUUGCAUCAACACUUUAUAAAGCCCUGGUGAUUGUACAAUGUACAAUGUCUAUUAAUUGUGUCUAUCUUUACAUGCAUUUAGUAAGAGGCUAUUACAAGGAAGACUCGUUAUACUCAAAGAGAAUAUACACCCUUCACCUACGAAGGGAUAUAAACUGAAGUGAAAAUGACAAACAAAUGUGUCAACUAUCGAGGGAUUUAGCUAAGAUGUCCAUGGCAUCAAAGAACCUUGUGACACACUACCUACUUCACAUUUGGUUCGCAUUGCAUAGCAAAAGACGUCAUUUGUACAAAACUAUUAAGGUAAGUCAAGGUAUUUGCUGUGAGGCAAGCAUUACAGCAGACAUACACUGUAUUCACGACUUUACUAUUUUGCUAAAACCCAAGUGUAAAAAAUAUUAACGGGUAUGAUAAAGAGUCUGUUAUUAGAGCUUCGCAAUAAAGCAGAGCAACCGAUUUGAAAAGUCGUAUACGAGUGCAAAAGCUUCCGCUGUUCCGUGUUUCCGUCUUCCGCUGUUCCUGGACCUAACACCCGUUGAGCAAUGUAACAAAAUGAGAUUGUCGAAUAUGUCAACCGUUACGAUGUUUUUCAAUACUGAAAUUGAAUUUCUGCAACUGAAAAUCUGAAAUCACCUGGUGAAUUAUGGCUUAUAUAUCAUUUUUCAACUCAUAGUGAGAAUAAAGAAUGGAUGGGGAUAUAUAAUUAAUGGUAACCAUUACGUGCAAGCCAACUAGCUGGAGGACCAUGGUCCAACGUGUCAUCUUGUAGAUCCUAAAGCUCAAUGCUAUACUUUCUGGGCCAUCGUUCUUUGAUUUCUCAAUAAAGAUUUGUCCAUAUAUUUAUGUCAGCAGUAGGACCAAGGCAAGAAGAAAAAGUACAGCUGACUGCCUGUGAGGCUGUGAACAAAACCUUAUUCUCCAACAUCUGGUAUCAAUUUUCUCAGCUAGAAGUUUGGUUGUAUUUCCGCUGGUUUCCUCGGAGUAGAGAAAUAAAUGAGACAGUCAGCGUGGGCCGAAAUUUUGGUCGGAUGAUAACUUUUGAUUUCGUUCGUUUCGCAUUAUCUUAGUUGUAUUAUAAAAUCAUUGAUAAAUAGUGACAAUAUGUAUAAUAUUGUAA